AGUGAACGCUGGCGGUAGGCCUAACACAUGCAAGUCGAACGGCAGCACAGUAAGAGCUUGCUCUUACGGGUGGCGAGUGGCGGACGGGUGAGGAAUACAUCGGAAUCUACUUUUUCGUGGGGGAUAACGUAGGGAAACUUACGCUAAUAUCGCAUACGACCUACGGGUGAAAGCAGGGGAUCUUCGGACCUUGCGCGAUUGAAUGAGCCGAUGUCGGAUUAGCUAGUUGGCGGGGUAAAGGCCCACCAAGGCGACGAUCCGUAGCUGGUCUGAGAGGAUGAUCGGCCACACGAGAACGGAGACACGGUCCAGACUCCUGCGGGAGGCAGCAGUGGGGAAUGUUGGACAAUGGGCGCAAGCCUGAUCCAGCCAUACCGCGUGGGUGAAGAAGGCCUUCGGGUUGUAAAGCCCUUUUGUUGGGAAAGAAAAGCAGCAGGUUAAUACCCCGCUGUUCUGACGGUACCCAAAGAAUAAGCACCGGCUAACUUCGUG
This 492-nucleotide ribosomal RNA is filed under the name uncultured bacterium. RNAcentral describes it as "partial 16S ribosomal RNA". It matches the Rfam family "Bacterial small subunit ribosomal RNA", at positions 29 to 507 of the family's 1533-position model. The record is from RNAcentral.